This 309-nucleotide unclassified non-coding RNA is filed under the name Yurkovia mendeliana. RNAcentral describes it as "partial contains 5.8S ribosomal RNA, internal transcribed spacer 2, and large subunit ribosomal RNA". Lineage: Eukaryota; Fungi; Basidiomycota; Microbotryomycetes; Chrysozymaceae. The record is from RNAcentral.
CGCACCUUGCGCUCUCUGGUAUUCCGGAGAGCAUGCCUGUUUGAGUGUCAUGAACUCUUCAACCCACCGGUUCCUUGUUGGACCGUGUGGUGUUUGGAUUUUGAGCGCUUGCUAGUCGAAAGACUUUAGCUCGCUCGUAAUACAUUAGCAUCUCAAUUUCGUAAUCGGAUUGACUCAGCGUAAUAGACUAUUCGCUGAGGACACGGGGGCAACCUUGUGGCCGAACAUGAAUGAGUAUAGAAGCUUCCAACCCCUCUAGUCACCUUUAGAUUAGACCUCAGAUCAGGCAGGAUUACCCGCUGAACUUAA